GACGAACGCUGGCGGCGUGCUUAACACAUGCAAGUCGAACGGAAAGGCCCUGCUUUUGUGGGGUGCUCGAGUGGCGAACGGGUGAGUAACACGUGAGUAACCUGCCCUUGACUUUGGGAUAACUUCAGGAAACUGGGGCUAAUACCGGAUAGGAGCUCCUGCUGCAUGGUGGGGGUUGGAAAGUUUCGGCGGUUGGGGAUGGACUCGCGGCUUAUCAGCUUGUUGGUGGGGUAGUGGCUUACCAAGGCUUUGACGGGUAGCCGGCCUGAGAGGGUGACCGGCCACAUUGGGACUGAGAUACGGCCCAGACUCCUACGGGAGGCAGCAGUGGGGAAUAUUGCACAAUGGGCGGAAGCCUGAUGCAGCAACGCCGCGUGCGGGAUGACGGCCUUCGGGUUGUAAACCGCUUUCGCCUGUGACGAAGCGUGAGUGACGGUAAUGGGUAAAGAAGCACCGGCUAACUACGUGCCAGCAGCCGCGGUGAUACGUAGGGUGCGAGCGUUGUCCAGAUUUAUUGGGCGUAAAGGGCUCGUAGGUGGUUGAUCGCGUCGGAAGUGUAAUCUUGGGGCUUAACCCUGAGCGUGCUUUCGAUACGGGUUGACUUGAGGAAGGUAGGGGAGAAUGGAAUUCCUGGUGGAGCGGUGGAAUGCGCAGAUAUCAGGAGGAACACCAGUGGCGAAGGCGGUUCUCUGGGCCUUUCCUGACGCUGAGGAGCGAAAGCGUGGGGAGCGAACAGGCUUAGAUACCCUGGUAGUCCACGCUGUAAACGGUGGGUACUAGGUGUGGGGUCCAUUCCACGGGUUCCGUGCCGUAGCUAACGCUUUAAGUACCCCGCCUGGGGAGUACGGCCGCAAGGCUAAAACUCAAAGGAAUUGACGGGGCCCCGCACAAGCGGCGGAGCAUGCGGAUUAAUUCGAUGCAACGCGUAGAACCUUACCUGGGUUUGACAUGGAUCGGGAGUGCUCAGAGAUGGGUGUGCCUCUUUUGGGGUCGGUUCACAGGUGGUGCAUGGCUGUCGUCAGCUCGUGUCGUGAGAUGUUGGGUUAAGUCCCGCAACGAGCGCAACCCUUGUUCACUGUUGCCAGCACGUUAUGGUGGGGACUCAGUGGAGACCGCCGGGGUCAACUCGGAGGAAGGUGGGGAUGACGUCAAGUCAUCAUGCCCCUUAUGUCCAGGGCUUCACGCAUGCUACAAUGGCUGGUACAGAGAGUGGCGAGCCUGAGAGGGUGAGCGAAUCUCGGAAAGCCGGUCUCAGUUCGGAUUGGGGUCCGCAACUCGACCUCAUGAAGUCGGAGUCGCUAGUAAUCGCAGAUCAGCAACGCUGCGGUGAAUACGUUCCCGGGGCU
Molecule: ribosomal RNA, 1346 nt
Filed under: uncultured bacterium
Lineage: Bacteria
Description: partial 16S ribosomal RNA
Rfam family: Bacterial small subunit ribosomal RNA
Source: RNAcentral